GCCAGCAUGAUGCAGUGGUUUGAAUGUUGGACUACUAUUCUAGAGAACAGGGUUCAAAUCCCCACUCAGUCA
Phrynosoma platyrhinos (Desert horned lizard) is the source of this 72-nucleotide non-coding RNA. The record is from the annotation of a GenBank genome assembly. Lineage: Eukaryota; Metazoa; Chordata; Lepidosauria; Squamata; Phrynosomatidae.